Molecule: unclassified non-coding RNA, 798 nt
Filed under: uncultured Bordetella sp.
Lineage: Bacteria; Pseudomonadati; Pseudomonadota; Betaproteobacteria; Burkholderiales; Alcaligenaceae
Description: partial 16S-23S ribosomal RNA intergenic spacer
Rfam family: Bacterial small subunit ribosomal RNA
Source: RNAcentral
AGUGAAAUGCGUAGAUAUGCGGAGGAACACCGAUGGCGAAGGCAGCCUCCUGAUGCCAACACUGACGCUCAUGCACGAAAGCGUGGGGAGCAAACAGGAUUAGAUACCCUGGUAGUCCACGCCCUAAACGAUGUCAACUAGCUGUUGGGGCCUUCGGGCUCUGGUAGCGCAGCUUAACGCGUGAAGUUGACCGCCUGGGGAGUACGGUCGCAAGAUUAAACCCAAAGGAAUUGACGGGGACCGCACAAGCGGUGGAUGAUGUGGAUUAAUUCGAUGCAACGCGAAAAAACCUUACCUACCCUUGACAUGUCUGGAAUCCCGAAGAGAUUUGGGAGUGCUCGCAAGAGAACCGGAACACAGGUGCUGUGGCUGUCGUCAGCUCGUGUCGAGAUGUUGGGUUAAGUCCCGCAACGAGCGCAACCCUUGUCAUUAGUUACGAAAGGGCACUCUAUCGAGACUGCCGGUGACAAACCGAGGAAGGUGGGGAUGACGUCAAGUCCUCAUGGCUCCAGGGUAGGGCUUCACACGUCAUACAAUGGUCGGGACAGGUCGCCAACCCGCGAGGGGGAGCCAAUCCAGAAACCCGAUCGUAGUCCGGAUCGCAGUCUGCAACUCGACUGCGUGAAGUCGGACCGCUAGCAAUCGCGGAUCAGCAUGUCGCGGCGAAUACGUUCCGGGUCUUGUACACACCGCCCGUCACACCAUGGGAGUGGGUUUUACCAGAAGUAGUUAGCCUAACCGUAAGGAGGGCGAUUACCACGUAGGAUUCAUGACUGGGGUGAAGUCGUAACAAGGUAA